This 437-nucleotide ribosomal RNA is filed under the name uncultured bacterium. RNAcentral's name for it is "bacterial SSU rRNA". It matches the Rfam family "Bacterial small subunit ribosomal RNA", at positions 8 to 443 of the family's 1533-position model. The record is from RNAcentral.
AGAGUUUGAUCCUGGCUCAGAAUCAACGCUGGCGGCGCGCUUAACACAUGCAAGUCGAACGAGAAAGCCGGGGCAACCUGGUGAGUAAAGUGGCGUACGGGUGAGUAACACGUGGAUCAUCUACCUUCUAGUGGGGAAUACCGUUGGGAAACCGACGACAAUACCGCAUGAGCUCGAGAGAGGAAAGCGGCUUUGUGAAAACAGAGUCGCGCUGGAAGAGGAGUCCGCGGCUGAUUAGCUAGUUGGUGAGGUAACGGCCCACCAAGGCUUUGAUCAGUAGCCGGCCUGAGAGGGCACACGGCCACACUGGCACCGAAACACGGGCCAGACUCCUACGGGAGGCAGCAGUGGGGAAUCUUGCACAAUGGGGGAAACCCUGAUGCAGCGACGCCGCGUGAGCGAUGAAGCCCUUCGGGGUGUAAAGCUCUUUCGGCAGG